GAAGAUAAUGGAUUCUAACAUAAUUAUAGAGAUAAUCUCGGUAUCGAGAAUGUACUAAUGUGUGUUGUCAGUUUCUUUUUUUAGAUGGCUUCACUUAGAUUAAGUUUUUAAGCUACUUAAUCCUAUAUUUUAACAUUGAUAAGUGUCGAUUGAUACCAAACUUCUUUUUUCUUUCCAAUUCUUGCAGUAUUUGAGACUUGGUAAAAAGACAUGUUGGUGUUCGUGGUGGUGAUUGGCAGGCAGUAAGACUUGGUAAUAUAAAGGGGUUUUUUUUAACGGAAGACUUUUUAGCCGACAGUGAUAUUUUUGUUCCCCCAUAAUGGCCAGUUUCGAAGAACCAUUCAAACAUAAACUUCAGGAUAAUGGGGGUGCAAUGCUCAAAGACUAUAUUUCUAAAUAUUAUGGGAGCUCAUAUGUGUUAAUUAUUCCACCUCCAACAACUGGGAGUCUUGACCAUUGUGCCUUUGUGGUGACUUUCGUUUUGAAAGUUGAUUGGUCAUAAGAGUGUUGGCACAUUUCCAAAGGAAUAUCGAGGACUGGCAAACGAACAAUGGGAUCGUCAUGAUAAGAGCUUUGUUAAUAGAUUGGGAAUUUCAUGAGGAAUUUUUAUUUGUUAGGUUGAGUUUUACAAAUAUAUAUUCAGUUUUAUUACGCGUGUUGGGUGAUUUAUGGAUUUGGGAUAUUUUUAACUUGCUUGAAUAUUUUUUGCACCCCAAUUUAACAUGCACAUAUACAGCAUAUAUUUUACUUUGUUCCUACCCAUUUUUUGUCCAUCAUUUGCUCAUUGUUCGACCUGUAGCUUUAGUUGUCUUCAAAAUGUGUUGCGCCGUGCCUUCAGGCACGGGCAUUC
Long non-coding RNA from Rhododendron vialii, 850 nucleotides. RefSeq lists it as uncharacterized. NCBI's taxonomy places the organism in Eukaryota, Viridiplantae, Streptophyta, Magnoliopsida, Ericales, Ericaceae. The transcript is spliced from 3 exons. The record is from RefSeq and is a predicted model, not a curated record.